RNAcentral lists this ribosomal RNA (522 nucleotides) under uncultured organism. RNAcentral describes it as "SSU rRNA". It matches the Rfam family "Bacterial small subunit ribosomal RNA", at positions 509 to 1028 of the family's 1533-position model. The record is from RNAcentral.
CAGCAGCCGCGGUAAUACGUAGGGUGCGAGCGUUGUCCGGAAUUACUGGGCGUAAAGAGCUCGUAGGUGUUUUGUCGCGUUGUUCGUGACAAACUCACAGCUUAACUGUGGGCGUGCGGGCGAUACGGGCAGACUAGAGUACUGCAGGGGAGACUGGAAUUCCUGGUGUAGCGGUGGAAUGCGCAGAUAUCAGGAGGAACACCGGUGGCGAAGGCGGGUCUCUGGGCAGUAACUGACGCUGAGGAGCGAAAGCGUGGGGAGCGAACAGGAUUAGAUACCCUGGUAGUCCACGCCGUAAACGGUGGGUACUAGGUGUGGGUUCCUUCCUUGGGAUCCGUGCCGUAGCUAACGCAUUAAGUACCCCGCCUGGGGAGUACGGCCGUAAGGCUAAAACUCAAAGGAAUUGAUGGGGGCCCGCACAAGCGGCGGAGCAUGUGGAUUAAUUCGAUGCAACGCGAAGAACCUUACCUGGGUUUGACAUGCACAGUACGCCGGCGAGAUGUCUGGUUGCCGUUGUGGCCU